CCUACGGGCGGCAGCAGUGAGGAAUAUUGGUCAAUGGGCGCGAGCCUGAACCAGCCAAGCCGCGUGAGGGAUGAAUGUACAGCGUAUCGUAAACCUCUUUUGUCAAGGAACAAAGUCGGGCACUAGUGCCCUGCUGAGUGUACCUUAUGAAUAAGCAUCGGCUAACUCCGUGCCAGCAGCCGCGGUAGUACGGAGGAUCCGAGCGUUAUCCGGUUUUAUUGGGUUUAAGGGGUGCGCAGACGGCCUGUUAAGUCAGUGGUAAAAGCCCGGGGCUCAACCCCGGCUAGCCGUUGAAACUGGCGGGCUGGAGUUGGAUAGAAGUAAGCGGAAUGCGCGGUGUAGCGGUGAAAUGCUUAGAUAGCGCGAAGAACCCCGAUUGCGAAGGCAGCGUACUGGAUUGACACUGACGCUGAGGCACGAAAGCGUGGGUAUCGAACAGGAUUAGAUACCCCUGUAGUC
Molecule: ribosomal RNA, 459 nt
Filed under: uncultured bacterium
Lineage: Bacteria
Description: partial 16S ribosomal RNA
Rfam family: Bacterial small subunit ribosomal RNA
Source: RNAcentral